Molecule: ribosomal RNA, 253 nt
Filed under: uncultured bacterium
Lineage: Bacteria
Description: partial 16S ribosomal RNA
Rfam family: Bacterial small subunit ribosomal RNA
Source: RNAcentral
UACGUAGGGUGCAAGCGUUGUCCGGAAUUAUUGGGCGUAAAGAGCUCGUAGGCGGUUUGUCGCGUCGAAUGUGAAAACCCGGGGCUCAACCCCGGGCCUGCAUUCGAUACGGGCAGACUAGAGUUCGGUAGGGGAGUCUGGAAUUCCUGGUGUAGCGGUGAAAUGCGCAGAUAUCAGGAGGAACACCGAUGGCGAAGGCAGCUCGCUGGGACGGUAUUGACGCUGAGACGCGAAAGCGUGGGGAGCAAACAGG